Pelobates cultripes (western spadefoot toad) is the source of this 320-nucleotide non-coding RNA. NCBI's taxonomy places the organism in Eukaryota, Metazoa, Chordata, Amphibia, Anura, Pelobatidae. The record is from the annotation of a GenBank genome assembly.
UGGAUAGACUGUUAGAGGGAGAGAAGUCUAAGGAAAACUGUCAUAUCUCAUGAUGUUCUCUUCUUGUGUACUUCUUCUUUAGUGAGCUUCAGUUAUCUAACCAAAGAUCGCACUGCUUUCCCACAUUGUGGACAUUGGCACUCAUCGCCAGGAAAAGUAGUGUGAUCAUAUGUGUAAUAUGUCCCUUUUCUGAUAAGUAAGGAUAUGUAAAUCAUGGUACAAUUAUGGAGGGCAUUGUAGGUAAGUACUAAGAUCUUAAAGUUAAUCAACAAUGAUAUAAAAAUCCUAAAUUAAUUCACUGAAAUAUGUUUCAAAUUAAA